UAUGUUCAUCUGGCCUCCAGCUGACAGAGAUAGUCAUCUACUCUUGGGUAGCUAAAUUAUGGGGUAAGACUACAUUGGAUGCUCAGCUAAAAGUAUUUUAACACUUUCAUUUUUUUUUCAAUUAGUAAGCAUUAAUUUUCUCUAUCAAUUCCUUUCCCA
RNAcentral lists this long non-coding RNA (159 nucleotides) under Monodelphis domestica (gray short-tailed opossum). Its description in RNAcentral is "lncRNA (ENSMODG00000037269.1)". The record is from RNAcentral. Lineage: Eukaryota; Metazoa; Chordata; Mammalia; Didelphimorphia; Didelphidae.